This 353-nucleotide ribosomal RNA is filed under the name uncultured eukaryote. RNAcentral describes it as "SSU rRNA". It matches the Rfam family "Eukaryotic small subunit ribosomal RNA", at positions 594 to 945 of the family's 1831-position model. The record is from RNAcentral.
AUAGCGUAUAUUAAAGUUGUUGCAGUUAAAAAGCUCGUAGUUGAAUUUCGGGAUUGACACAUCGGUCGUGCCUUAAGGGGUAUGAACUGGUGUAGUCAAUUUCUCACCUUCUGGAGAACCACGAUGCCCUUAAUUGGGUGUCGCGGGGAACCAGGACCUUUACUUUGAAAAAAUUAGAGUGUUUAAAGCAGGCAUUUUGCUUGAAUACAUUAGCAUGGAAUAAUAAAAUAGGACGGCAUGAUUCUAUUUUGUUGGUUUCUAGGAUCACCGUAAUGAUUAAUAGGGAUAGUUGGGGGCAUUAGUAUUCAAUUGUCAGAGGUGAAAUUCUUGGAUUUAUUGAAGACUAACUUCUG